GAUGAACGCUGGCGGCGUGCCUAAUACAUGCAAGUCGAGCGAACAGACGAGGAGCUUGCUCCUCUGACGUUAGCGGCGGACGGGUGAGUAACACGUGGAUAACCUACCUAUAAGACUGGGAUAACUUCGGGAAACCGGAGCUAAUACCGGAUAAUAUAUUGAACCGCAUGGUUCAAUAGUGAAAGACGGUUUUGCUGUCACUUAUAGAUGGAUCCGCGCCGCAUUCGCUAGUUGGUAAGGUAACGGCUUACCAAGGCAACGAUGCGUAGACGACCGGAGAGAGUGAACGGCUACACUGGAAGAGAGGCACAGCCCAGACUCCGACAGUGGGCAGCGGUAGGGACUCUUCCGCGAGGGAGGAGAGCUUGACAGAGCAACGCCGCGUGAGGGAUGAUGGUCUUCGGAUGGUAGAACGCUGAUAGUAGUGAAGAUCAAAUGUGUAAGUAACUAUGCUCAUCUUGACAGUACCUAAUCAGAAAGCCACGGCUAACUACGUG
This 497-nucleotide ribosomal RNA is filed under the name uncultured bacterium. Its description in RNAcentral is "partial 16S ribosomal RNA". It matches the Rfam family "Bacterial small subunit ribosomal RNA", at positions 28 to 507 of the family's 1533-position model. The record is from RNAcentral.